UGUUACCGAAAUUAUAAUUUCCACGAUAUAAUAUUUUAAAUAAUCACGAUGACUCUAUUGAUCUUUCGAAAUUGCUUGGUUUGACGUAAAAAUGAGUUGUUGCGAAAAUUGUAGUGAUGAAAAUAUAGAGGUUUUCUACACUGAUAGGAAAGUUAAAGGGUUAUUCUUGAGCCUAGUUCUGAUUAUCUUAUUUCUAACCUAUCGGCUGUACCGUUGCCAUCAUCCCCGCAGGAGUCUUUUAUGCAGUUUUUAAAUAAAAAGGUCAGUCCGGACGGAGCCGGGAUGAGAGGCCAUGUAUACAUCAAAAAGAGAAAAAUGAAAACCGACAGAAAGCUAAUUAACUCACUUGGAUUACUGCCCUUAUAGUUUACAACAGACCAUCAUCGUCAGGGUAUAGAAAUGAAACACAAUUUAAAAAAUAAAUUAAUUUAAUAAAUCA
Colias croceus (clouded yellow) is the source of this 439-nucleotide long non-coding RNA. RefSeq lists it as uncharacterized. The record is from RefSeq and is a predicted model, not a curated record. The transcript is spliced from 2 exons. NCBI's taxonomy places the organism in Eukaryota, Metazoa, Arthropoda, Insecta, Lepidoptera, Pieridae.